This is a long non-coding RNA of Chloebia gouldiae (Gouldian finch), 1171 nucleotides long. NCBI's taxonomy places the organism in Eukaryota, Metazoa, Chordata, Aves, Passeriformes, Passeridae. The record is from Ensembl.
GGGCUUGAGGUCGGUACUGACAUAAAACCCACUUUGAACGCAUUAAAACCCAUUUAUCCUGAAGACCCUCAUCUAUUGAGUUGUUUGUAAGGACAUCAGCACCCAUCUUUCAAAUUCAACCUCCAAUCUCCAGGCCAGAACCACCUAUGAUGCUUUAAAGGCUUUAGAUGUCCUUGAGCAAAGCCACCAAGGAGGAAGCAGUAACUGAGGAGGAUUUUUAGGGUGUCCUGAGCUCAGCCACCUUCUGAGGUAUUUGCUUCUCCCUCCAGGAGCCUGUAAUCCCAACCUCAACCCCACACCAGCUGCUGAACCUCUGCAGACAUCAUCAUUCAUUCCUGGGAAAACUAGGACAUACCUCAGCCUAAGCAGAGACAAAUGACCUCCAAGUGCUCCAUGCCUGGCUAGAAGCUGCUGUGCACUGCACUUGCCAGCCAAAUUUUCAAAAGAGCCCAGUUUGCUGACAUAAAUGGGGUUGCUGAUGUGCCGAAGGAGAAGGAAGUGCUGGAGAAUAUAUUCCUCCCUGGGUCCAAGUCUCUCCCAUCUUAUCUUUCCCUUCCAUAUGUUUCCUCUGUAAUGAGAGGAAUUAUUUAUCAUUAAAGUGAUAUAUAAUUUAAAAAUUAAAGUUAAUGAAUGCUUAAAUUAAUUUACUGACAAAAACAAAUGUCUGUCCUUCAGAUCCUAUAAUUUUAAUUGGAGUGGGCUACGGCUUAAUUAACAUGUAUUGAUUGUAGUCCUGAGUGCAUCUAUAGGUGGGUGGACUGUGUUGGGAGAAAUCCUCCUCGGAGAUGAAGAUUUGCUGAUAACAUUCUGAAUAAUUGUCUUGUGAAGAGACAGAAGCCUUUGCUGUUGUCUCUGCAGAAAGCUUUAAACAAAAGGUGCACGAAGAAGACAGAAAAUUGGAGGAGAGUUGGAGCAAAUAAAGAAGUGGAUGCCACUGGAAACUUUUUGGGGGAUAAAAAGACAGUUUUAUAACAUCAAGAAGAAUGGAAAAGCUGCAAGGCAUGCACACUCAAGACGCUGUGCUCCUGGAAAGUUCUGGAUGGGCUCUAGGCAAUGUUUGGUGGCAAAGAAAGAUGAAGGUCUUGGAAAGAAGGGAAAAUAAUCAGCCAAGCCCUCAUCCUCCAAUAUUCUUCUUUCUGUGAGCUGGGAAUGCCAUUGGAGUAUGGGAAGG